This 253-nucleotide ribosomal RNA is filed under the name uncultured bacterium. RNAcentral describes it as "partial 16S ribosomal RNA". It matches the Rfam family "Bacterial small subunit ribosomal RNA", at positions 524 to 776 of the family's 1533-position model. The record is from RNAcentral.
UACAGAGGGUGCAAGCGUUAAUCGGAAUUACUGGGCGUAAAGCGUGCGUAGACGGUUAUGUAAGUCAGGUGUGAAAGCCCCGGGCUCAACCUGGGAAUUGCAUUUGAGACUGCAUAGCUAGGGUGCGGAAGAGGGAAGCGGAAUUUCCGGUGUAGCGGUGAAAUGCGUAGAUAUUCGGAAGAACACCAGUGGCGAAGGCGGCUCACUGGCCCGGUACUGACGCUGAGAUACGAAAGCGUGGGGAGCAAACAGG